Molecule: ribosomal RNA, 200 nt
Filed under: uncultured bacterium
Lineage: Bacteria
Description: partial 16S ribosomal RNA
Rfam family: Bacterial small subunit ribosomal RNA
Source: RNAcentral
AGCGAACGCUGGCGGCAGGCCUAACACAUGCAAGUCGAACGAACUCUUCGGAGUUAGUGGCGGACGGGUGAGUAACACGUGGGAACGUGCCUUUAGGUUCGGAAUAACUCAGGGAAACUUGUGCUAAUACCGAAUGUGCCCUUCGGGGGAAAGAUUUAUCGCCUCUAGAGCGGCCCGCGUCUGAUUAGCUUGUUGGUGAG